This 406-nucleotide ribosomal RNA is filed under the name uncultured bacterium. RNAcentral describes it as "partial 16S ribosomal RNA". It matches the Rfam family "Bacterial small subunit ribosomal RNA", at positions 29 to 526 of the family's 1533-position model. The record is from RNAcentral.
AUUGAACGCUGGCGGCAGGCCUAACACAUGCAAGUCGAACGAGUGGCGGACGGGUGAGUAAUGUCUGGGAAACUGCCUGAUGGAGGGGGAUAACUACUGGAAACGGUAGCUAAUACCGCAUACCAUCGGAUGUGCCCAGAUGGGAUUAGCUAGUAGGUGGGGUAACGGCUCACCUAGGCGACGAUCCCUAGCUGGUCUGAGAGGAUGACCAGCCACACUGGAACUGAGACACGGACCAGAGUCCUACGGGAGGCAGCAGUGGGGAAUAUUGGACAGUGGGCGCGAGCCUGAUGCAGCCAUGCCGCGUGUAUGAAGAAGGCCCUGGGGGUGUAAAGUACUUUCAGCGGGGAGGCGUUACCCGCAGAAGAAGCACCGGCUAACUCCGUGCCAGCAGCCGCGGUAAUUC